Molecule: ribosomal RNA, 466 nt
Filed under: uncultured bacterium
Lineage: Bacteria
Description: bacterial SSU rRNA
Rfam family: Bacterial small subunit ribosomal RNA
Source: RNAcentral
AUCCAGACUCCUACGGGAGGCAGCAGUGAGGAAUAUUGGUCAAUGGGCGCGAGCCUGAACCAGCCAAGUCGCGUGAGGGAAGACGGUCCUAUGGAUUGUAAACCUCUUUUGUCGGGGAGCAAAAGACGCCACGCGUGGCGUUCCGAGAGUACCCGAAGAAAAAGCAUCGGCUAACUCCGUGCCAGCAGCCGCGGUAAUACGGAGGAUGCGAGCGUUAUCCGGAUUUAUUGGGUUUAAAGGGUGCGUAGGCGGAAUGCCAAGUCAGGGGUAAAAUCGCGGGGCUCAACCUCGCUCCGCCGUUGAAACUGGCGUUCUUGAGUGGGCGAGAAGUAUGCGGAAUGCGUGGUGUAGCGGUGAAAUGCAUAGAUAUCACGCAGAACUCCGAUUGCGAAGGCAGCCUACUAAACUGCCACUGACAUUGAUGCUCGAAAGUGUGGGUAUCAAACAGGAUUAGAUACCCCCGUAC